This 62-nucleotide transfer RNA is filed under the name human gut metagenome. It matches the Rfam family "tRNA", at positions 4 to 62 of the family's 71-position model. Rfam says of the family: Transfer RNA (tRNA) molecules are approximately 80 nucleotides in length. Their secondary structure includes four short double-helical elements and three loops (D, anti-codon, and T loops). The record is from RNAcentral.
GGUGUAGCUCAGUUUGGUAGAGCGCUUGGUUCGGGACCAAGAGGCCGUGGGUUCAAGUCCCG